Molecule: ribosomal RNA, 266 nt
Filed under: uncultured Staphylococcus sp.
Lineage: Bacteria; Bacillati; Bacillota; Bacilli; Caryophanales; Staphylococcaceae
Description: partial 16S ribosomal RNA
Rfam family: Bacterial small subunit ribosomal RNA
Source: RNAcentral
CGGCGGGCGGGUGAGUAACACGUGGGUAACCUACCUAUAAGACUGGGACAACUUCUGGAAACCGGAGCUAAUACCGGAUAAGAUAUCGAACCGCAUGGUUCGAUAGUGAAAGAUGGUUUUGCUAUCACUUAUAGAUGGACCCGCGCCGUAUUAGCUAGUUGGUGAGGUAACGGCUCACCAAGGCAACGAUACGUAGCCGACCUGAGAGGGUGAUCGGCCACACUGGAACUGAGACACGGUCCAGACUCCUACGGGAGGCAGCAGGG